CACCAGACUCCUACGGGAGGCAGCAGUGGGGGAUAUUGCACAAUGGGGGAAACCCUGAUGCAGCGACGCCGCGUGUAGGAAGACGGUCCUCUGGAUUGUAAACUGCUGUCCCCAGGGACGAAGAUGACGGUACCUGGGGAGGAAGCUCCGGCUAACUACGUGCCAGCAGCCGCGGUAAUACGUAGGGAGCGAGCGUUGUCCGGAAUUACUGGGUGUAAAGGGAGCGUAGGCGGGGAUGCAAGUUGGGUGUUAAAUCUACCGGCUCAACUGGUAGUCGCACUCAGAACUGCAGCUCUUGAGUGAAGUAGAGGCAGGCGGAAUUCCUAGUGUAGCGGUGAAAUGCGUAGAUAUUAGGAGGAACACCAGUGGCGAAGGCGGCCUGCUGGGCUUUUACUGACGCUGAGGCUCGAGAGUGUGGGGAGCAAACAGGAUUAGAUACCCGCGUA
Molecule: ribosomal RNA, 446 nt
Filed under: uncultured bacterium
Lineage: Bacteria
Description: bacterial SSU rRNA
Rfam family: Bacterial small subunit ribosomal RNA
Source: RNAcentral